This is a long non-coding RNA of Hemicordylus capensis (graceful crag lizard), 503 nucleotides long. RefSeq lists it as uncharacterized. NCBI's taxonomy places the organism in Eukaryota, Metazoa, Chordata, Lepidosauria, Squamata, Cordylidae. The transcript has 3 exons. The record is from RefSeq and is a predicted model, not a curated record.
GGGGGCUGGGGCAGGAAGAAGAAGGAGGAGGAAACAGCUGCCCCCAAAGCGCCACACAGAUGCUCUGUGCAGGGUUGGCUAGAAUGCCAAGAAGAAGCAACUGUCUGAGAUGUUGCUGGGGAAAUGGGAGGCAACAGAGAAUGGAGAAGGCAGGAAGAUGCCUGCCUGCAUAUUCCAAAAUUUCUGAGUGCAAAAAUCCAUCUUUUUCACAAAGUGACAAUGGAUGAUGUCCAUCCCUGAAAUCAGGAAAUAUGAUGGAGUUUUCUUCUCUGAUACCAACAAGACUAUCUUUUGUACAGUAUAACAAUGUGACACCAAGUUUUCUCGUUUGUUUAAUCACAUCAUACUGUAGAUCUCAGUGGGAAUGCAAGGAUUAUAAUUACAGCACCUGUCCAGAUUACAGCCUUAGUUUGUGUUAUUUGGCAGUCCACAUAAUCAUCCAGUUCCUCAAAUAUAAAGUUAGGAAUACUGAAUUAUACUUUCUUGAGGCUGAAGUCAUUAAC